This 844-nucleotide ribosomal RNA is filed under the name uncultured Gammaproteobacteria bacterium. RNAcentral describes it as "bacterial SSU rRNA". It matches the Rfam family "Bacterial small subunit ribosomal RNA", at positions 52 to 890 of the family's 1533-position model. The record is from RNAcentral. Lineage: Bacteria; Pseudomonadati; Pseudomonadota; Gammaproteobacteria.
CACAUGCAAGUCGUGCGAGAAAGUAUCUUCGGAUAUGAGUAGAGCGGCGGACGGGUGAGUAACGCGUAGGAAUCUACCUAGUAGAAGGGGAUAGCCCGGGGAAACCCGGAUUAAUACCGUAUACCUCCUUCGGGAGAAAGAAGGCCUCUCUUUGAAGCUUUCGCUACUAGAUGAGCCUGCGUAAGAUUAGCUUGUUGGUGAGGUAAAAGCUCACCAAGGCAACGAUCUUUAGCUGGUCUGAGAGGACGAUCAGCCACAUUGGGACUGAGACACGGCCCAGACUCCUACGGGAGGCAGCAGUGGGGAAUAUUGGACAAUGGGCGCAAGCCUGAUCCAGCCAUACCGCGUGUGUGAAGAAGGCCUUCGGGUUGUAAAGCACUUUAAGCAGGGAGAAAAAGUUAUAAGUUAAUACCUUAUAGCCUUGAUGUUACCUGCAGAAUAAGCACCGGCUAAUUCCGUGCCAGCAGCCGCGGUAAUACGGAAGGUGCAAGCGUUAAUCGGAAUUACUGGGCGUAAAGCGCGCGUAGGUGGUUUGUUAAGUUGGAUGUGAAAGCCCUGGGCUCAACCUAGGAACUGCAUCCAAAACUAACUCACUAGAGUACGAUAGAGGGAGGUAGAAUUCAUAGUGUAGCGGUGGAAUGCGUAGAUAUUAUGAAGAAUACCAGUGGCGAAGGCGGCCUCCUGGAUCUGUACUGACACUGAGGUGCGAAAGCGUGGGUAGCGAACAGGAUUAGAUACCCUGGUAGUCCACGCCGUAAACGAUGACAACUAGCUGUUGGGAGACAAAGUCUUUCAGUGGCGCAGCUAACGCUUUAAGUUGUCCCGCCUGGGGAGUACGGCCGCA